This 27-nucleotide non-coding RNA is filed under the name Bombyx mori (domestic silkworm). The record is from RNAcentral. Lineage: Eukaryota; Metazoa; Arthropoda; Insecta; Lepidoptera; Bombycidae.
UAGUUGUAUGGAAAAGAAUGCACUAAA